UGGGGAAUAUUGCACAAUGGGGGAAACCCUGAUGCAGCGACGCCGCGUGAGCGAUGAAGGCAUUCGAGUCGUAAAGCGCUGUCCUAUGGGAAGAUAAUGACGGUACCUAACCAGAAAGCCACGGCUAACUACGUGCCAGCAGCCGCGGUAAUACGUAGGUGGCAAGCGUUGUCCGGAAUUAUUGGGCGUAAAGCGCGCGCAGGUGGUUUAGAAAGUCUGAUGUGAAAGCCCACGGCUCAACCGUGGAGGGUCAUUGGAAACUAAUAAACUUGAGUGCAGGAGAGAAAAGUGGAAUUCCUAGUGUAGCGGUGAAAUGCGUAGAGAUUAGGAGGAACACCGGUGGCGAAAGCGGCUUUUUGGCCUGCAACUGACACUGAGGCGCGAAAGCGUGGGGAGCAAACAGG
Molecule: ribosomal RNA, 404 nt
Filed under: Verrucomicrobiota bacterium
Lineage: Bacteria; Pseudomonadati; Verrucomicrobiota
Description: Verrucomicrobia bacterium partial 16S ribosomal RNA
Rfam family: Bacterial small subunit ribosomal RNA
Source: RNAcentral